UAUUUAAUUAGUAUAAUGAUUAGUACAUUUAAUUUCCAAUUAAAUAGUUUUUAAUAAAAUUAAAUAA
Molecule: transfer RNA, 67 nt
Filed under: Rhipicephalus microplus (southern cattle tick)
Lineage: Eukaryota; Metazoa; Arthropoda; Arachnida; Ixodida; Ixodidae
Description: tRNA-Gly
Source: RNAcentral